CACAGCCUUGAGGCUGUUGUUUCUGUUUCUUUUUACUCAGUCUGAGUUUACAGGCUUCAUCAAAUGAAAAACAGAACCAGGACCACCAUGCAGCGCUGUGUCUGUGGGAGGCUUUAAAAGAAGUCCAGGUGUCACAAAGAAGACAGAGCAACAUUGGUUUAGGAAAAGUGGAUCAUCUUUGCCUCAUCAGCCAGGCCAUUUUCUACAGGACGACGGAUCCCGAAGCCCCUGGCAGCCCAACGUUGCCAUCAUCUCCGUAACUGGCAGCUAUAUUGUCCACAGUAGCAGCUGCGACUCGCCUCGGGGACGAAGCUCUUGUCUCACCGCACAUGGUAACGUAAGACAGAAUUAAAAACAAAUGCCAAAUACAGUAAUACAGAGGACACUCUGUAGAGGACACUGACUGUCCUUCAGGAUGCAUGUUUUGAUUUGUAUGUAAGAUUUUCACAUGCUGUUUUUAGCUUUUUAUGUGCAUGAAAAUAUUGAAUGACUUCACUAUGUAAGAAUUUGUGAUAAGUCGGACUUUAAUAGAGAGCAGCAGCAGUAUUGAGGAUUAGAACAUUUAUCAGUUUGAUGAGAAUUUAGCAUAAAGUAGUGAUUAAAGGGAAUUGUUUGCCCACAAAUGUGAAUUUGCUGAAAAUGAACUCACUCUCAGGGCAUCCAAGAUGUAGAUAAGUUAGUUUCUUCAUCAGAACAGAUUUGGAGAAAUGCAGCAUUUGAUCACUUGCUCACCAAUGCAUCCUCUGCAGUGAAUGGGUGCCGUCAGAAUGAAAGUCCAAACAGCUGAUAAAAACAACACAGUAAUGUAUACAUAAUCCAUUUUUAAUAAACAAAUUCAUCAUGAAGACAUUUUUUUUUAUAUUUUUCAUCAAAUUUUCAUCUUUUUAAAUGAAGAUCUGGAUAAGGUUUUAACCCAAAAUGCGAAGAUCAUUACUCAAAAGUUGCUAAAGAUAAAGAUCAUCUGUUAAAUGACAAAUAAC
Molecule: long non-coding RNA, 980 nt
Organism: Cyprinus carpio carpio
Lineage: Eukaryota; Metazoa; Chordata; Actinopteri; Cypriniformes; Cyprinidae
Source: Ensembl